CUAUUUUCAAUAGAAGAAUAUAAGAAAAAUAUGCUUAAUUUUUUUUUAUCAAUGGGUCAAAUCAAAAUGGCAACGACCCAGAGAGUUCGCGUGACGAGAAAUCGUCAGGAAUACGAACGAUCCUUUAAAUCAACCCCCAUGCAGUGUUUACCGUUCGAAAUGGACCAAGGGAAGAGGAUAUGCGCGCGAUAUACGACCUAAUUCAGUACCCUACUGAUAACGAUGACGUCACGAUAGCUCGUCUACUUGUUACUAGUCACGGACGCUACGUGACACGAGACUAAACUGUAGAGAUGAGCAGGAUGAUAAUGGUGCUACUCUAUAUUACGUUAUGUGUUACGCUAUUCCUCGUGACACAACAUGCAGUCAAUUUAUUCUCUCGUUAAUAUUUUAUUAUCCAUUCGAUUCAUUUGACAAAAAUAUGAUGUUAAUUACCAAUCAGCAUGACUUUUCAUUAUUCCGUUUUUACAAUUUAUUUUAUCCUUAGUUUCUACGCUUGUAUAUAUAAGAAUAAAACUUUUGAAAACAAUAAGCUAAAUAACUAGCAUCGAUUUAAGUCGAAGACACGCGAAACGUGAGAAAAUGAAAGUAGCGGCGGGUUGCUUUUAGAUCGAUCAACAGCAGUAAGAGUCGCCAAGAGAACGGGGACCAGUUGUCGUCUAUCGUCGUUCUUUCGUUGGCAUCACAAGAUUGCGCGAUGAUGUCAUGUAUUCGGCCGAGUUUAUGCGUGUUUGUAAACAGGCAGAGAGAAAAAGAGAAAUAGUUCAGAAAGAUGAACAAGGACGGAAUAAGGAGUGGGAGUAAACAUGAAGGAGAAAGGGGAAACGAGAAAGAAGCGAGAGGGGAGAAAAAGUGCCUUGUGUCAGGCACCUUGCCGUUCUGACUGCGCAGCAUCUCGCUUGUUUCUCGUACGCCUUCGUCGAGGCUCCCUACGCAGCGUCGCUCAUCUCGUUUUCUCGUACACGAGCGUGACGUCAUGCUGCAAGUUGCAUAGGAGUAACUGAACGAGGAAAGGGGACUAGAGGGGAGCAGUUACGUGGGGAUAUAGACGAGCAAACGUGCGCGCGCGCACCAGAAAGCCGCAGCGUCGAUGGAUUUGCUGUUACCUGCAUGGAGUGGCUGCAUGCAGAAUACACGCGAGGUGACAUCGUCGUAUGUAGUCGUUGGUAGCUGAUUUUCCCUCUUCCCUUCGUUCACCUACCUAACCUCUCGACAGAACAUAACCGGUUCCGCGCCGCGUGCAAACUCCUUCCAUCCUCCUACCCCUCGACUGUCUCCUUCCUUCUCGUAGUUUCUUUUCUUUUCAUACAAACCUAUCUCUCUUCUGAACCGUUCCGACCUCCCCCACUCGUUCUUUCUCACUUUUCUUUCUCGUGUUUCAUUCUCGCUUCCUCCUUUUUCAAGUACUAUACUCGAACGAUCGAAUUAAUCGUUGGCUGCUCGUCUACUGCUAUUCGACAGUGUUGCAUUUUAUAUGCUUUUCUCUCGUUCUCUUUCGUCACUGAUGUACAACAUAUAUUCAAACAUUACACAGAGAGCGAUUCCGCGGUCAUCCAGCGGGAUGUGCUACUUUAUGCCCUAUUGCAAAGGCGACGGCGGGGCAAUGCCACGAAUCGUGGCUCACGACGGAGACGAUGGUCUAUGCGCAUAUUGUACCGGACGGUUAAUGGCGUGAUGGCGUGACAUCGGUGCACAUUGCACACGUACACUGCGAAUGGGGCGAACGGAAUGGAACGGAACGGAACGGAACGGAAUGGAAUGGAAUGGAACGAAACGGAAUGGAACGGAACGGAACGGAACGGAACGGGAUGGAACAGAACAGAAUGGAAUGGAAUGGAACGAAACGAAACGAAAUGAAAGACCGGAACGCGAUGUCGCGUGUCCUAUGUUGCAUUCGCGUGUGUCGCAAAUAUUAUAUGCGAUUCUUCAACUAAAUGCUUUAGUGCACGAAUAUAUUUGUACAUUGUUUUA
This is a long non-coding RNA of Apis mellifera (honey bee), 1971 nucleotides long. RefSeq lists it as uncharacterized. The transcript has 2 exons. The record is from RefSeq and is a predicted model, not a curated record. NCBI's taxonomy places the organism in Eukaryota, Metazoa, Arthropoda, Insecta, Hymenoptera, Apidae.